GACGAACGCUGGCGGCGUGCCUAAUACAUGCAAGUGGGACGCAAGGAAACACACUGUGCUUGCACACCGUGUUUUCUUGAGUCGCGAACGGGUGAGUAACGCGUAGGUAACCUGCCUAUUAGCGGGGGAUAACUAUUGGAAACGAUAGCUAAUACCGCAUAAUAUUAAUUAUUGCAUGAUAAUUGAUUGAAAGAUGCAAGCGCAUCACUAGUAGAUGGACCUGCGUUGUAUUAGCUAGUUGGUAAGGUAAGAGCUUACCAAGGCGACGAUACAUAGCCGAACUGAGAGGGUGAUCGGCCACACUGGGACUGAGACACGGCCCAGACUCCUACGGGAGGCAGCAGUAGGGAAUCUUCGGCAAUGGACGAAAGUCUGACCGAGCAACGCCGCGUGAGUGAAGAAGGUUUUCGGAUCGUAAAGCUCUGUUGUAAGUCAAGAACGUGUGUGAGAGUGGAAAGUUCACACAGUGACGGUAGCUUACCAGAAAGGGACGGCUAACUACGUG
Molecule: ribosomal RNA, 505 nt
Filed under: uncultured bacterium
Lineage: Bacteria
Description: partial 16S ribosomal RNA
Rfam family: Bacterial small subunit ribosomal RNA
Source: RNAcentral